UUUUGUUUUAACUAGGCGAGUAACCUGCAUUUUUUAAGAGACACCUUUUAUUUGAGUUUGUAUUUAAAGUUGCCAGAACCAAGCAAAUGUUAGGAUUGCCCUUUCCCUUUUUUUCUCAUUUAUAAAUAUAUUUAAUGAAAUUAACUCUUUUGACAUAGAUUAAUCACAGGAUUUUUUCAUCAUCAAUUUUGAGCAAUUGAAGAGGAGAGAAUUAGAAAAGAAAUCACAAAUACUUGGCAACCUAUCUUUUGCCUGUGAGUGUAACUCGUAUCAUCAAUGUUGAAUAAUGAAGAAAACACUAAAUACCAUGAUAACAUGACAUAUUAGUUUGCUAGCUUCUGUGGAAAUGAAACUCUAAGUAAAUUCUCUUUUAUUCAAUGGAUGAGCUGAAAUCUCAAUUAAUGGUAUCUUGGCCAAAACUUGCUAUACAAAGUUGGGACACCACAAUAAAAGUGCCAAAUAGCAUUUGUAGUAAAGCAUAUCUUUAUAUCUGCCAAUUUUUUAUGAAGA
RNAcentral lists this unclassified non-coding RNA (510 nucleotides) under Hevea brasiliensis (rubber tree). The record is from RNAcentral. Lineage: Eukaryota; Viridiplantae; Streptophyta; Magnoliopsida; Malpighiales; Euphorbiaceae.